This 406-nucleotide ribosomal RNA is filed under the name uncultured bacterium. Its description in RNAcentral is "partial 16S ribosomal RNA". It matches the Rfam family "Bacterial small subunit ribosomal RNA", at positions 30 to 526 of the family's 1533-position model. The record is from RNAcentral.
AUUGAACGCUAGCUACAGGCUUAACACAUGCAAGUCGAGGGACCGGCGCACGGGUGAGUAACACGUAUCCAACCUGCCCUUUACUCGGGGAUAGCCUUUAGAAAGAAAGAUUAAUACCCGAUGUAAAGGAUGGGGAUGCGUUCCAUUAGGUGGUUGGUGAGGGAACGGCUGACCAAGCCUUCGAUGGAUAGGGGUUCUGAGAGGAAGGUCCCCCACAUUGGAACUGAGACACGGUCCAAACUCCUACGGGAGGCAGCAGUGAGGAAUAUUGGUCAAUGGUCGUUAGCCUGAACCAGCCAAGUAGCGUGAAGGAUGAAUGCUUAUGGGUCGUAAACUUCUUUUAUAUAAGAAUAUGUAUUAUAUGAAUAAGGAUCGGCUAACUCCGUGCCAGCAGCCGCGGUAAUUC